Molecule: non-coding RNA, 24 nt
Filed under: Arabidopsis thaliana (thale cress)
Lineage: Eukaryota; Viridiplantae; Streptophyta; Magnoliopsida; Brassicales; Brassicaceae
Source: RNAcentral
GCACACUUGCCUCCAUCAAUCUGC